GAAUAAGGUCGGAACACCAAGAACUGCUAAUUACUUGUCACCGUGGUUCAACUCCACGGCUUACUCG
Molecule: transfer RNA, 67 nt
Filed under: Bombina microdeladigitora (Hubei firebelly toad)
Lineage: Eukaryota; Metazoa; Chordata; Amphibia; Anura; Bombinatoridae
Description: tRNA-Ser
Source: RNAcentral